UACGGAGGGUGCUAGCGUUGUCCGGAAUUACUGGGCGUAAAGGGCGCGUAGGCGGCCAUUUUAGUCCGAGGUGAAAGCCCAGGGCUCAACCUUGGAACUGCCUUUGAUACUGGCUGUCUUGAGUUCGGGAGAGGUGAGUGGAAUGCCGAGUGUAGAGGUGAAAUUCGUAGAUAUUCGGCGGAACACCAGUGGCGAAGGCGACUCACUGGCCCGAUACUGACGCUGAGGCGCGAAAGCGUGGGGAGCAAACAGG
This 253-nucleotide ribosomal RNA is filed under the name uncultured bacterium. Its description in RNAcentral is "partial 16S ribosomal RNA". It matches the Rfam family "Bacterial small subunit ribosomal RNA", at positions 524 to 776 of the family's 1533-position model. The record is from RNAcentral.